CUCCUGGGAUACGGAAGGCACCGUGAUAGACAUCUGGGCAAGUCAACAGGAAGGAGCUGAGAUUCCUGACUUCACAGAUCCCUGAGGAGAUGUUUACUAAAGGGAAUCUUCUGGUCACUGUUACCUUCCUCCGUACUUACCUGCCUCAUGGAGAACCCGAAAGGAAGAAGCUAUACGACUGGGGACACAUGUCUUAGAAGCACACUCAUUAGAUAAAGUGUCGCAUACUCUUUGAUAAGUGACUCAGAACACCCGUGUCCUUCCCAACAUUGGAUGCAAUGCUAAAGACAUGAUGUUGCUCCUGCUGGACCACACCUUGAAGGAAUUGCCUACCCCACCUCACCUCCAAAAUUAAAGUCUUUCGUUUUGACAAAA
RNAcentral lists this long non-coding RNA (375 nucleotides) under Homo sapiens (human). RNAcentral's name for it is "long intergenic non-protein coding RNA 1060". Lineage: Eukaryota; Metazoa; Chordata; Mammalia; Primates; Hominidae. The record is from RNAcentral.